CCUACGGGCGGCAGCAGUGGGGAAUAUUGCACAAUGGGGGAAACUCUGAUGCAGCGACGCCGCGUGAGUGAAGAAGUAAUUCGUUAUGUAAAGCUUUAUCAGCAGGGAAGAAAAUCACGGUACCUGAGUAUGAAGCCCCGGCUAACUACGUGCCAGCAGCCGCGGUAAUACGUAGGGGGCAAGCGUUACCCGGAUUUACAGGGUGUAAAGGGAGCGUAGACGGCAGUGCAAGUCAGGGGUGAAAGUCGGGGGCUCAACCCCAGGAUUGCUCUGGAGACUGUAAGGCUGGAGUGCAGGAGAGGUAAGUGGAAUUCCUAGUGUAGCGGUGAAAUGCGUAGAUAUUAGGAGGAACACCAGUGGCGAAGGCGGCUUACUGGACUGUAACUGACGUUGAGGCUCGAAAGCGUGGGGAGCAAACAGGAUUAGAUACCCCUGUAGUC
This 440-nucleotide ribosomal RNA is filed under the name uncultured bacterium. RNAcentral's name for it is "partial 16S ribosomal RNA". It matches the Rfam family "Bacterial small subunit ribosomal RNA", at positions 338 to 795 of the family's 1533-position model. The record is from RNAcentral.